AGUGAACGCUGGCGGUAGGCCUAACACAUGCGAGUCGAACGGCAGCACAGUAAGAGCUUGCUCUUACGGGUGGCGAGUGGCGGACGGGUGAGGAAUACAUCGGAAUCUACUUUUUCGUGGGGGAUAACGUAGGGAAACUUACGCUAAUACCGCAUACGACCUACGGGGGAAAGCAGGGGAUCUUCGGACCUUGCGCGAUUGAAUGAGCCGAUGUCGGAUUAGCUAGUUGGCGGGGUAAAGGCCCACCAAGGCGACGAUCCGUAGCUGGUCUGAGAGGCUGAUCAGCCACACUGGAACUGAGACACGGUCCAGACUCCUACGGGAGGCAGCAGUGGGGAAUAUUGGACAAUGGGGGGAAGCCUGAUCCAGCCAUCCCGCGUGGGUGAAGAAGGCCUUCGGGUUGUAAAGACCUUUUGUUGGGAAAGAAAAGCAGCAGGUUAAUACCCCGCUGUUCUGACGGUAACCAAAGAAUAAGCACCGGCUAACUUCGUG
Molecule: ribosomal RNA, 492 nt
Filed under: uncultured bacterium
Lineage: Bacteria
Description: partial 16S ribosomal RNA
Rfam family: Bacterial small subunit ribosomal RNA
Source: RNAcentral